GGGAAGUUAUCAAAAAAUUGAGGGAUGAGCUUGUAACUGCUAAUGAAGAAGUACAAAGGCGUAGCUUGAUUGAAGAUGGAAGUGAGUUAAAAGUGGUAAAAGAGAUGAUUAUGGAAAAUGUUCAGUCAGCUGGAAAACUCAAGAAAAUGUGGAUCAUUUUAAUUUGUUCAUGGUUAAUUUUUCUGUAUGUUUUAGUAAUAGUAGUGUAAAACAACAUUGGGGAAACUCUUUUUGUUUUGUUAUUUGUGUUGUGAGUUAAGAGUGGCAUAUGAGUGGAUGAUUGUAAUUCAUGUAUGGUUGUUGUGUUUAUGUCUUAAAGG
RNAcentral lists this long non-coding RNA (320 nucleotides) under Panax ginseng (ginseng). RNAcentral describes it as "long non-coding RNA (PGIN_LNC010786)". The record is from RNAcentral. Lineage: Eukaryota; Viridiplantae; Streptophyta; Magnoliopsida; Apiales; Araliaceae.